CUUUUGAGAAAAAAAUUAUAUUACUAUUAUAAACAAUCUAUUUCUCUGAGCACUGUGCAAAAUUGUACGUGUAUACAGUGCAAAACAGUAUACGUUUAGGCCAAUACGUUUUCAUUGUCUUAAUUUCAAACGGUAUACAGAACGUUCUCAUCAUUGUGCACGGUAAACCAGAGUUGGGUGUUGUUUCUUCUCUCCUAGCUGUUGGAUGGAAUGGAUGUGUUGCUGAUGAACACACCUGCAGCAGGAGUUUGAGGCUGAGAGCCUCAUAGGGACGUUCAGAAAUCUAACAGCAGAACAAUUCAGGAGGCUUGGCAACCUGACGUGUCUGUCAGACCCAAAGGACCUGCGGGUGUACAGAAACGCAGAGGCCUUCUCUGUGAUUCAGGACAACAUUAGGACGUGUUGUCCGGGGCCUCAGGAGCCCCAGGGACAUGAUCUCCAGCUUGUUCCUGAAUGGGAUUGAGCUUCAGUCUACUGGCUCUCUCUCAGCUGCCUCCCUUCUUGCCCUGGCUGGGUGUGGACUUCCUACAGAAGCUCAGCCCUGUGCUGACAGCCCUGGCCUCUGUACCCUUCACUCCUGCACAGGCCAGUGUAAUUGUGGACAAAGUGUCUCUAAACAACAGUCUGGCUCUGCCGGGGCAGCUGCAGAAGCUGGGCUCCCUGGUGAGUGGGGUGAAGGUUGAGACUCUGUGGAGCUUGCCCUCUGACAUCCUGUUGUCCUCGCUGCCUGACAUCGCCCUGCACACCCCCGGCUUCAACCCCCCACAGGCCAACACCAUCACCACCAAACUCUGGGACUCACCAGAGGUGACUGGCUGGUUGGAUAAGGUGGAGCCCCUGCUCCACAGCACCCCUCUACUCAGUGUGCUGACCAGGGCUAGUCUGCUGUUGACCAACAGGACCUUGGCAGGAAGACGAGCCUGGAACACUCAGCAGGCUAAAACUCUUUUUAAAGAAGCAGUGAAGACCAUGCCCAAUCUUUCCACUGAGACGUUUCUUGCCCUUGGAAGCAUUGCCCAAGGUGUAAGCUACACAGCCCUGCGACAGCUCUUCCGGGACAAGCCAUCAUUUUCCUCAAUGCGGAGUGUCCUUGCAUUCAAGAAAGAGCAGUCUGUUCCUCUCAUUCCUCACUGAAAAAGUGCAUCAGCUGUACUACUUUGACUUCUUCUCUGAGCUGCUGGGAGAGUUUGGCGCUCAGAUCGCUCUGGCCCUGCCGGCAUGUACACAGGAGAGUUCACUGAGGAUGAGUUCCGCUCACUGGGCAUCAUGGCGACCUAUGUAGUGGAUGGGGUGUUUGUGCAGCUGGUGCCGAGCUUCUUUGUGGAGAGCCUGGAGUUCCUCAGAGUUCUGCUAUAACAGCAGCAAGAGGGACAUCGUCACACAGAUCCUACAGGA
RNAcentral lists this long non-coding RNA (1395 nucleotides) under Salmo salar (Atlantic salmon). RNAcentral's name for it is "lncRNA (ENSSSAG00000102980.1)". The record is from RNAcentral. Lineage: Eukaryota; Metazoa; Chordata; Actinopteri; Salmoniformes; Salmonidae.